This 994-nucleotide ribosomal RNA is filed under the name Bacillus haynesii. RNAcentral describes it as "bacterial SSU rRNA". It matches the Rfam family "Bacterial small subunit ribosomal RNA", at positions 52 to 1026 of the family's 1533-position model. Lineage: Bacteria; Bacillati; Bacillota; Bacilli; Caryophanales; Bacillaceae. The record is from RNAcentral.
UACAUGCAGUCGAGCGGACAGAUGGGAGCUUGCUCCCUGAUGUUAGCGGCGGACGGGUGAGUAACACGUGGGUAACCUGCCUGUAAGACUGGGAUAACUCCGGGAAACCGGGGCUAAUACCGGAUGCUUGAUUGAACCGCAUGGUUCAAUUAUAAAAGGUGGCUUUUAGCUACCACUUACAGAUGGACCCGCGGCGCAUUAGCUAGUUGGUGAGGUAACGGCUCACCAAGGCAACGAUGCGUAGCCGACCUGAGAGGGUGAUCGGCCACACUGGGACUGAGACACGGCCCAAACUCCUACGGGAGGCAGCAGUAGGGAAUCUUCCGCAAUGGACGAAAGUCUGACGGAGCAACGCCGCGUGAGUGAUGAAGGUUUUCGGAUCGUAAAACUCUGUUGUUAGGGAAGAACAAGUACCGUUCGAAUAGGGCGGUACCUUGACGGUACCUAACCAGAAAGCCACGGCUAACUACGUGCCAGCAGCCGCGGUAAUACGUAGGUGGCAAGCGUUGUCCGGAAUUAUUGGGCGUAAAGCGCGCGCAGGCGGUUUCUUAAGUCUGAUGUGAAAGCCCCCGGCUCAACCGGGGAGGGUCAUUGGAAACUGGGGAACUUGAGUGCAAAAAAGGAGAGUGGAAUUCCACGUGUAGCGGUGAAAUGCGUAAAGAUGUGGAGGAACACCAGUGGCGAAGGCGACUCUCUGGUCUGUAACUGACGCUGAGGCGCGAAAGCGUGGGGAGCGAACAGGAUUAGAUACCCUGGUAGUCCACGCCGUAAACGAUGAGUGCUAAGUGUUAGAGGGUUUCCGCCCUUUAGUGCUGCAGCAAACGCAUUAAGCACUCCGCCCGGGGGAGUACGGUCGCAAGACUGAAACUCAAAGGAAUUGACGGGGGCCCGCACAAGCGGUGGAGCAUGUGGUUUAAUUCGAAGCAACGCGAAAAACCUUACCAGGUCUUGACAUCCUCUGACAACCCUAAAAAUAGGGCUUCCCCUUCGGGGG